Hippopotamus amphibius kiboko is the source of this 455-nucleotide long non-coding RNA. RefSeq lists it as uncharacterized. The transcript has 3 exons. Lineage: Eukaryota; Metazoa; Chordata; Mammalia; Artiodactyla; Hippopotamidae. The record is from RefSeq and is a predicted model, not a curated record.
CGUGGGUCUUCCGAGGCAGCGGAAGACAGGCAGCGUAGUCCUCCGGGCACAUUGCAGUCUCCUGCUCACCACCCCCGCGAUGGACCAGCAGCGGCCCCCGAGGGGCGCGAGAGCAGAAGGCCCCAGCCACAGGUGGCACAGUGGUUAAGAAUCCGCCUGCCAAUGCAGGGGACAUGGAUUCGAUCCCUGCUCCAGGAAGAUCCCACACGCCUCAGAGCAACUAAGCCUAUGCGCCACAACUACUGAGCCUAUGCUCUAGAGCCGGCGAGCCACAACUACUGAGCCCAUGUGCCGCAGCUACUGAAGCCCACGCGCCUGGAGCCUGUGCUCCGCAAUAGGAGAGCUACCGCAAUGAGGAGUCCACGCACCACGUCGAGGAGCGGCCCCCGGUCGCCGCAACUAGAGAAAGCCCAUGUGCAGCAAUGAAGACCCAUGAAGCCAAUAAAUAAAUAAAU